GUCUGAGUGCUCCAGGAUCUGGCUGGCUGUGAGGUCCUCCUCCUCGGAUGAUUCAUCGGAGUCCUCAUGGUGCAUUUUAUUCAGGCUAGGAGUGCUUCCUGACAGUUGGCGCUCCUCCAGAAUCUGCAUAUCACACUUAUCCAGGCUGUCCAGAGAACGUCUGCGCACUCCCCAGUUGAAAUUGUCCAUACUCUCACCCUGAAGGACCGGAUCUGCUCAACUUGUUUUCCAG
Molecule: long non-coding RNA, 232 nt
Filed under: Homo sapiens (human)
Lineage: Eukaryota; Metazoa; Chordata; Mammalia; Primates; Hominidae
Description: non-protein coding lnc-ZAR1L-2:1
Source: RNAcentral